Molecule: long non-coding RNA, 596 nt
Filed under: Bos taurus (domestic cattle)
Lineage: Eukaryota; Metazoa; Chordata; Mammalia; Artiodactyla; Bovidae
Description: long non-coding RNA NONBTAT026984
Source: RNAcentral
UAGAAUGCUGAUACACAUUUAUUUUUAUUGCUAAACAUUGAAUGCCAGCAACUAUGGUAUCUUCAAGUUAAACUCAGUUGUAAGAUUUAUAGAAAAAAAUACCUGGGUACCACUAGUAUGUGGACAUUCAAUAAAUACCACAGGACAAACUGAUGACUAAGAGCCACAUACCCAUGAAGCCCCUAUUUAAACAAUUUACCAUUAGAACAGAUGACCUGUAAGAGCAAUUAUCAAAAGGUCAAGUUUCACUGCAUGUCUUUUCAAACAGAGAUGCUGAAAAGGAUAUAUACAUUCUUUACAGGUUUUAAGUGAUUAAAAACAACCCUCAAAAAUGUAGACAAUGCAGAGUAGAACACUGAAAAUACAGUUUUACUGUUGAACAAGUGACAACACAACACUUUCUUCAAAUCCUUAAAAUAAUUCAUUUUUUAAAUGGCUCUAUAGAAACCAAAAUGAACUAUAUUCAUAAAGAUGAUAAUCUACCAGGGACACAAAGAUCUUUCAAGCUAUUUUUUUAUGUUAACAUACAUUUACAUGAAUAUUCAAUAACACUUUUUACAGCUUACUUAAAUAGAAACAUGCUUUUCUAAUCCAUA